Molecule: ribosomal RNA, 548 nt
Filed under: uncultured Glomeraceae
Lineage: Eukaryota; Fungi; Glomeromycota; Glomeromycetes; Glomerales; Glomeraceae
Description: SSU rRNA
Rfam family: Eukaryotic small subunit ribosomal RNA
Source: RNAcentral
UUGGAGGGCAAGUCUGGUGCCAGCAGCCGCGGUAAUUCCAGCUCCAAUAGCGUAUAUUAAAGUUGUUGCAGUUAAAAAGCUCGUAGUUGAAUUUCGAGAUCAAAUUGUUGGUCGUGCCUUGGUACGUACUGGCAUUAUUGAUUUCUCCCUUCUGAAGAACCACGAUGUCAUUAAUUUGGUGUCAUGGGGAAUCAGGACUGUUACUUUGAAAAAAUUAGAGUGUUUAAAGCAGGCUAACGCUUGAAUACAUUAGCAUGGAAUAAUGAAAUAGGACGUUUGAUUCUAUUUUGUUGGUUUCUAGGAUUGACGUAAUGAUUAAUAGGGAUAGUUGGGGGCAUUAGUAUUCAAUUGUCAGAGGUGAAAUUCUUGGAUUUAUUGAAGACUAACUACUGCGAAAGCAUUUGCCAAGGAUGUUUUCAUUAAUCAAGAACGAAAGUUAGGGGAUCGAAGACGAUCAGAUACCGUCGUAGUCUUAACCAUAAACUAUGCCGACUAGGGAUCGGAUGAUGUUAAUUUUUUAAUGACUCAUUCGGCGCCUUACGGGAAAC